UGAAUGUGGUCUCUCUCUCUCCCUCAAAAUACUUUAUUGUACUGCUCUCACAUUUCUUGUUAUGAUGUGAGAUGAUACAUGCCUACCUAAUGAGAUUAGGUGAGGUAAGUGGCAUAGGCAUUAUGACAUAACAUUAGGCUAUUAUUGACCUUCUGAUAACAUGUCAGAAGGAGGAUCAUCUGCUUUGGGUGAUCCUGGAUCAUAGAGCCAUAGCAAUAUUGAUGGUUGAAUGUUUGGAGCAGACAAUGUCAAUGAUUAACAGACAGAUAAAGAUAUUUCAACUCAACAGUCUUCUUUAUGAACUUCCAACACUGUGUUGAAUAGGAGUGGUG
RNAcentral lists this long non-coding RNA (332 nucleotides) under Homo sapiens (human). RNAcentral describes it as "HSALNT0292052". Lineage: Eukaryota; Metazoa; Chordata; Mammalia; Primates; Hominidae. The record is from RNAcentral.